RNAcentral lists this ribosomal RNA (414 nucleotides) under uncultured prokaryote. Its description in RNAcentral is "bacterial SSU rRNA". It matches the Rfam family "Bacterial small subunit ribosomal RNA", at positions 355 to 774 of the family's 1533-position model. The record is from RNAcentral.
UAACGAAUCUUGCGCAAUGGGCGAAAGCCUGACGCAGCGACGCCGCGUGUGGGAUGAAGUCUCUCGGGAUGUAAACCACUGUCAGGGAGAAGAAAGUGCGCUUCGGCGCAUUGAUCUAUCCCAGAGGAAGUCACGGCUAACUUCGUGCCAGCAGCCGCGGUAAGACGAAGGUGGCGAGCGUUGUUCGGUGUCACUGGGCUUAAAGGGUGUGUAGGCGGGAAAGUAUGCGUCUUGUGAAAUCCCCCGGCUUAACCGGGGAAUGGCUAGACGAACUGCUUUUCUUGAGGCAAGUAGGGGUGCAUGGAACUCUUGGUGGAGCGGUGGAAUGCGUAGAUAUCAAGAGGAACGCCAAUGGUGAAAACAGUGCACUGGGCUUGUCCUGACGCUGAAACACGAAAGCGUGGGGAGCAAACG